UCCAUCAUGGUGUAGUGGCUAACAUUAUCGCCUCUCAUUUCUGCGUAUGCAUAAUGGUCAGUGCGCGAUAGCCCAGGGUUCGAUUCCCUGUGAUGGAA
Molecule: non-coding RNA, 98 nt
Organism: Stygiomarasmius scandens
Lineage: Eukaryota; Fungi; Basidiomycota; Agaricomycetes; Agaricales; Campanellaceae
Source: the annotation of a GenBank genome assembly